RNAcentral lists this ribosomal RNA (701 nucleotides) under uncultured beta proteobacterium. RNAcentral's name for it is "bacterial SSU rRNA". It matches the Rfam family "Bacterial small subunit ribosomal RNA", at positions 56 to 754 of the family's 1533-position model. Lineage: Bacteria; Pseudomonadati; Pseudomonadota; Betaproteobacteria. The record is from RNAcentral.
UGCAAGUCGAACGGCAGCACGGGGGCAACCCUGGUGGCGAGUGGCGAACGGGUGAGUAAUACAUCGGAACGUGUCCUGUAGUGGGGGAUAGCCCGGCGAAAGCCGGAUUAAUACCGCAUACGCUCUACGGAGGAAAGGGGGGGAUCUUAGGACCUCUCGCUACAGGGGCAGCCGAUGGCAGAUUAGCUAGUUGGUGGGGUAAAGGCCAACCAAGGCGACGAUCUGUAGCUGGUCUGAGAGGACGACCAGCCACACUGGGACUGAGACACGGCCCAGACUCCUACGGGAGGCAGCAGUGGGGAAUUUUGGACAAUGGGCGCAAGCCUGAUCCAGCAAUGCCGCGUGUGUGAAGAAGGCCUUCGGGUUGUAAAGCACUUUUGUCCGGAAAGAAAACGCUCUGGUUAAUACCCGGGGCGAUGACGGUACCGGAAGAAUAAGCACCGGCUAACUACGUGCCAGCAGCCGCGGUAAUACGUAGGGUGCAGGCGUUAAUCGGAAUUACUGGGCGUAAAGCGUGCGCAGGCGGUCCGCUAAGACAGAUGUGAAAUCCCCGGGCUUAACCUGGGAACUGCAUUUGUGACUGUAGAGCUGGAGUGCGGCAGAGGGGGAUGGAAUUCCGCGUGUAGCAGUGAAAUGCGUAGAUAUGCGGAGGAACACCGAUGGCGAAGCAAUCCCCUGGGCCUGCACUGACGCUCAUGCAC